UGGGGGAUAGUUUAACGGUAGAACUUCCGACUCUGACUCGGACAGUCUUGGUUCGAAUCCAGGUCCCCCAA
Molecule: transfer RNA, 71 nt
Filed under: Acetobacteraceae bacterium
Lineage: Bacteria; Pseudomonadati; Pseudomonadota; Alphaproteobacteria; Acetobacterales; Acetobacteraceae
Description: tRNA-Gln
Rfam family: tRNA
About the family: Transfer RNA (tRNA) molecules are approximately 80 nucleotides in length.
Source: RNAcentral